This is a long non-coding RNA of Octopus bimaculoides (California two-spot octopus), 1196 nucleotides long. The record is from RefSeq and is a predicted model, not a curated record. Lineage: Eukaryota; Metazoa; Mollusca; Cephalopoda; Octopoda; Octopodidae.
UAUCUUAAUGGUUUGGCAAAAGAGAGUGAUAGAAUAAGUAUUAGACUUAAAAAUAAGCCCAGGGGUCGAUUUGUUCAACAAAAGCCCUUCAAGAUGGUGCUCCAGCAUGGCUGCAGUCAAAUGACUGAAACAAGUAAAAGAAUUAAUCUCAGUACUUAUUUCAUCAGUUGCUUUUACCAAACCACUAGGUUACAGGGAUGUAAACAAACCAACAUCAUUUCUCAAGGACUGGCUGCAAGCCAAACACAAAGACACACACACAUACAUGUGUGUUGUAUGUACUUGUAUGUGUGUUUACACAAUGAACUUCCACACAGUUCUCAUCUACUAAAUUCACACACAAAGCAUUGGGAGGUCCAGAGCUAUAGUAGAGGACACAGAGGAACUGAACCUGUAACCACGUGGUUGCAAACCAAGCUUCUUAACCACACAGCUAUGCCUGUGCCUAUUGCCAUUCCUGCAGGUUUCUUUCAGUUUUCAUCUAAUUUUAUUUACAUUAAAAUUUCAACUGUUAAUAUUAUUAUUAUUGCUUUUUUUAUUACCUCUUCUUUUUUUUUAUUUCCAGAAGGAAAAUUUUUAUUUAGGUCACUGUCACUGUUCAAUGUACCUUGACGUCUGUUUAUAUUUGGCAUAUAAAAUUAUAGCCACUGACAUCAGAAUGAAAUUAUGUUGCUCAGAAAAGAACUACAUUUGUGAAUAGAUUUUUCUGCAUGUGUUAUGAAUUAGAAUUUAAAAAUUGGUUCAGAGAAAAUAAUAUCAAGAUGUGGACAUCAGCAAAAGACAUCAUAAUCAUCAUCAUCAUCACCAGCAGCAGCCCUUAACAUCCAUUUUCUAUGCUGGCAUGGGUUGGAUGGUUUGACCAGAGCUGUACCAAGUAUAGACCAAACUCAAUGUCGUUAUCUCAUGCUUACUAGAAACACUUCUAUCAAGCCUUUUCCUACAUACACUAAGCACAACCAAUGUAUGUCUUCAUGCAUUCAUUCAUUUACUGCUAACACACCAGAGACAUCUCUGUUAAACACAACUUAUCUCUAUACAGCAAGCUGUCUUGUUUGGAGGCAUAAUCUAUGGACAUAUUAAAGAGAACAACAAAAGUUAUAACCACUACUAACUUGGUCACCUAGAUAGCGGGACCUGUUCAUUGUAGGUUUCUUAAUAAACAGAAAUACCUAAUAAAAUCAACAUGUAUCAUUUUA